RNAcentral lists this transfer RNA (27 nucleotides) under Microbatrachella capensis (micro frog). Its description in RNAcentral is "partial tRNA-Met". The record is from RNAcentral. Lineage: Eukaryota; Metazoa; Chordata; Amphibia; Anura; Pyxicephalidae.
AUGUCGGUUAAACCCCCUCCUUUACUA